AUUUGGGGAGCAGACAGUCCCAAUACCUCUCCCUAGGGAAGGAGGGUUCCAAGAUAAGGGGUUAAUUCUCAGAGGGAAAGCGGGCUGCUAAAGGGCAACCCGAGGGCUCUGCUCUGACCUGGGGUUUGGUUAAUCUCAACAGCUCACCCUGGACGUGGGCUCUGAGAUGCUGCCGAGCUCCCAGACCCAGAGACAGCGUGCACCGUGGCGAUCGUUUCAGAGAAAACCCAAUUUAUUUAGCUUGUAGUGAAGCGUAAGAUUAAACAUGCAGCAGGCUGCUUAUUGCUUAAGGGAGACUCCUGUUCCCCUGCGCUGGGAGCUCUCUUAUUGCUUCCUUUUGUAGGAAUGUGGGUUCUGGCUGAAUCUUCUCCGCUGCCCUUGGGGUCAACUGUGAGACCCUCCCCUCACACAGACGUGUUGUGUGAACACCAGGGAGAGACAAAUAAAUGACCGUUUGGUCAAAUUGGCAGUUCUUCAGAGCGGUGUCUGUACAACCCUGAAAGCCCGGGCUUUCCGAAUGCUGCUGCAAUACAAAUAAUUGCCUUGAUAUGAACUGGCACAUGCUGUGCCCUGGGUCGGCGGGUGGCUUUGUUGGGUGAAAAGGAAUGUGCACUUCAGUGGAAAAGGGUGUUCUGUGCUCUCACAAGCCAGGGGUUUGUAUCAGCAGUGAGGUCUAAAAGCACAGAGAAACAGCAACUGGUGAGAAUUGCUGGCAAAGAAAAUCCAGAAUCCAUCCAGGUGGGGAUGUCUGCUGUGUUUUCACCCGUUGUGUUUGCUUUGGAAGGAGCAGGGGUAAACCAUGCUGGCCGGAAUGGGACAGCCUGGGUGGGAGCCCGCAGCUCAGGAGGUGUCAGAGGAGAUGUGUGAGCAGCACUACCUCCCCCUUUCCUCACUGCUCCAGGAGAUCCUGAAGUCUGGGAGAAAGAGCAGAGCUGGUUUUGGUCUGGUUUUUUUCUCCUCAGAGCCAAACACUCUCUGAAAUGCUAUGGAUGGUCCAUCCCGAGGUCAGACUCCAGCCUGGCCAGCAGCACGAGUGGUGGGUGGCUGCACGGCUCUGCUUGAGCACAGCACCAGUACAACAGGGCAGCCCCGUUCCUUGGCAGCAGAAGACAGCAGUGAAGACUUGUGCCUGCAGAGAAAACAAGGCAAAGCUCCCGUGGUGGACUCAGGAUGAUGAAUGCACAGAGCCCCUCGAGGAGCCGGCUAACCAGGAGAAAGUCGAGAUCAAAGAUAAGCCUCCUAAUCCGAUAGCAGCAAAUGCAAUCAGACUCUCCAUCUGCCAUCAAAGGCCCUCGCAACCCCACGACUGGGAGCCAGCCCCCCGCCUCCUGCCUGCACAGAUGCCUGCUCACCGCCGAGCCUCCCCGUGCCUCUCACCACAUCCAGCCUGGUGUCACCUCAGAUUAGUGGGCUUCUGGCUCAAAGCCUGUGCCUCCUUUCGGAUGAGAGGUGUUUGGAGGGGGGAUGCUCCCUCCUCCGAGCGAGGAGCGAAGUCUGGUUAUUUACUGGUGGUGGAGGAAAUUUAUCAAUCCUCACAAACGCCGAGCGC
Molecule: long non-coding RNA, 1549 nt
Filed under: Calidris pugnax (ruff)
Lineage: Eukaryota; Metazoa; Chordata; Aves; Charadriiformes; Scolopacidae
Description: lncRNA (ENSCPUG00000004039.1)
Source: RNAcentral